Long non-coding RNA from Carassius gibelio (silver crucian carp), 1646 nucleotides. RefSeq lists it as uncharacterized. Lineage: Eukaryota; Metazoa; Chordata; Actinopteri; Cypriniformes; Cyprinidae. The record is from RefSeq and is a predicted model, not a curated record. The transcript is spliced from 4 exons.
GUGUGUGUGUGUGUGUGUGUGUGUGUGUGUGUGUGUGUGUGUGUGUGUGUGUGUGUGUUUCCACAGGCAGUGAAUCCAGGAUUGUUGUCUGGAGGAUUUUGUGCGCUGGUAUUCUUCGAGAGAUUACGUGGAGGAGGAGGUGGAUGAGGCGGGACAGACGGUCACACGGGGCGAGCUGAGCGUUCGGAUGAAGAUCCCGGGGAACAUGUGAGUGUAGGCCUGGAAGACGGCUAAAGCCACACCGGCCCACAGACAGAAGAGACCGUUAGACGACACCAAAGAGGCCGAGAAGAGGAGUCUGAAGACAUCGUGUCGCUGCAUAGAGCUCUGCAGCAGGUCACCGCUCACGACAGCAAACUGCUGCUUCACCCCAGCCCUGACCUGAAGAAGCUGGAGGUUUGUCAGCUGUCUGCUGGAGGAGCCGAGGUCUCCGUGAUCGGAGCCGGACGAGGACCUGCUGGAACCAUCAUCCAUAAGAUGUUCGUCAGCUCUCAGCAGGGAUGAAUCUCACACUUGGAUUUCAACCCAAAACCAACACAGAAAAAAUGAAGACGUCAUAGGAUGCUUAAAUAAGUUCAAGCUUAUGGAACCAUUAGUAUUAUUGUAUAUUUAUUUUCAUCAUGAUAAUUAAAUACAUUUCCACUCCUAACUCAUGAUUCUCUGUAAUGAAUCUCAUUAAUCAAAGUCAUUUUUUAAAAGCAGUAGCUGUACUGUUGUGUAUAAAUACUGUACAAUUUAUAGAUGGGCGUCAGGAAAGCGGUUCCAGAUUUCCUGCCCCCUGCUGGACGGGAGGUUCUCCUGCGCACCUGUGUGCCGCGGCCCGCACCGUACUCCUUCUGUGUGCUGACCAGACGAGUUCAGACUCGCCGGGGCCUUCUCCUCCGACACCUGCUGCUUCUGAGCGAGAGACGAGCGCAGGUUACACGGGACACAGGCUUCAGGAAAUAAUGCAGACGAGUCUUUUGAGUCAGAACGCUUCACAUGUAAUCACAGGAAAUGAUUUCUGGAUCGGCGCUCUGAGGGUCUCAUCACCUCUGAAAUGGGUUUAUAUCUGUUGGGUUUCACACAUGCUAAUAAUAUCUGUUCCCUACUGUGUGCUUGAUGAGAGCAGCUCUAGAUUGAGUUUACAGCACUUUGCCUUAGGAAACAUCAUCACACAAACACACACACACACACACUCACACACUAACACUUACUCAUGCACACACACUCACUCAUGCACACACUCACACACUCUCUCUCUCUCUCUCACACACACUCACACACUCUCUCUGUCUCUCUCACACACACACACGCACUCUCUCACACACACACACACACACACACGCACUCUCUCUCUCUCACACACACACAUACUCUCUCUCUCUCACACACACACACACACACACACACACUCUCACACACACACACACACACACACACACACACUCUCUGGUUACGCAUCACCAGCAGCAGAGAGUAAAGUCCGGAUGGAUGCAUCAUGAUAUCUGUUAGUGUUCCCAUCAGAGGUGAUGUGAGACAUCGCAGAGCUCUGCCUGUGCUUCUGCUCGAGCGUCAGAGGGUUUCUGCUAAUGACAGUCAUGUAGACGUCUGUCUGAUGAGGCACUGUCAGUCUGUGUAGAAUCAAGGAAGAGUCUGCUUGUGUC